GCAUCCGGUGUGAGCCCGUUGCGACACUUCUUGUCGGAGCCGAACAAGAACCAACGCCGACACUCUUUUUGCCACUCCUCUCUCUCUAACUCUCUCUCUCUCCUUCGCUGCAUAAAAAUGGCGAUCACCUCUCGUAACCUCUUCAGAUUCCGUACUCUUCUCCUCUUCUCCUCUCUACUGGUUGUUGUCCUUGUCUUCUUAUUCAGAUCAGAAAUAUCAGAUACAUUAUCCCUCGAGAUUUUACCCUUGUCCAGAAUCAAAAGAUAUGCCCAACGAUAUUGGCAUCAACAAGAUUGUUGGGACUGCAAGAAGGAACAGGGUAUUGAUAUAACUGUUACAUACACCGAUCCUGCUGGUCAUAUUAAAAUAUACACAGUCAAUUCAAGGGAGUUAUCCUCUUCAUGGGUAUGGGUGAAUCCUGCCAAUAUAAGUCAUACACCGCCAACAGUCGGACUGCAAAACGUAGUUUUAAGCCGACAGCAUUCCAGUAAUGGCUCGCAAGACACUAUUGCAACUAGAUCACCGGAUGCUGCUCAUCCUUCUGGUGGUCAAAAUCCAGAAGCUAUCCAGAUCGACCCAAUCAAACUUAAGCGCCAGUAUCUGCGACAGAAAAGGAAGGAACAACGAACUGCUGAACUGAUUCAAGUGAGUAAAGAAGCUGAACUCAAGAUGCGACAAGCUGCCAUUGAACGCUCGAAACAGUUUGUUAACACAGCUAGGGAGCGAUACAGCAUAUGGAGGAGGGAAUUCAGCAACCCUAACUCGGAUUCUACUUUGAAACUUAUGAAGGAUCAAGUAAUAAUGGCCAAAGUGUAUGCAAGCAUGGCUCGUUCAAAGAAGGAAUUCAAUCUCUAUGACUCCCUUAUGAAAUGUAUCAAAGAAAGCCAGCUUGCCGUUGAAGAUGCAAAUUCUGAUAAUGAACUACCUAGGAGUUCUCUUGGGCAAGCAAAAGCGAUGGGCCAUGCAUUAUCCAUAGCAAAAGAUGCGCUACUCAACUAUGAUGCAGUGGCAAGGAAGUUAAGGGCCAUGCUCCAAUACAUGGAAGAAAACAUAAUUGCUGUGAAGAAACAGAACACCUUCCUAGUUCAACAUGCUGCAAAGACUGUUCCUACACCCCUACACUGCCUUUCUUUGCAGUUAAGUACUGAUUAUUUCCUUCAUAACUAUUCUAGCAAAGAGGAGGCAUAUAAUGAAAAGCUCGAGGAUCCAUCUCUGUAUCAUUAUGCCAUAUUCUCGGACAAUGUACUUUCUACAUCAGUAGUGGUCAAUUCGACAAUACUGCAUGCAAAGGAACCAGAGAAACAUGUAUUUCACAUAGUCACAGAUAAACUACACUUCGCCGCUAUGAAAAUGUGGUUCAUCCUACAUCCGCCUCGACCAGCCACUAUCCACGUCGAAAACAUUGAUGAUUUCAAGUGGCUUAAUUCCUCUUACUGUUCAGUACUUCGACAACUUGAAUCUUCUAGAAUCAAAGAUUACUACUUUAAAGCCAGUCAUGCAUCAUCCCUUUCGGUCGGGAAUGAAAACCUCAAGUAUCGAAAUCCCAAGUACUUGUCUAUGCUCAACCAUCUAAGGUUCUACAUGCCAGAAAUUUAUCCCAAGCUAGAGAAGAUACUGUUUCUUGAUGAUGACAUCGUUGUUCAAAAGGACUUGACACCACUUUGGUCUGUGGAUUUGAAAGGAAUGGUGAAUGGUGCAGUGGAAACAUGUAAGGAAAGCUUCCACCGCUUUGACACAUAUAUCAACUUCUCGAACCCCAUAAUUUCUAAGAACUUUGACCCACGAGCUUGCGGAUGGGCUUUUGGGAUGAACAUAUUCGACUUGAAAGAGUGGAAAAAGCGGAAUAUCACAGGAAUAUACCAUUAUUGGCAAGACCUGAACGAGGAUCGCAAGCUUUGGAAGCUCGGGACAUUGCCUCCGGGUUUGAUAACUUUCUACAACUUGACAUAUCCCCUUGAUCGAAGUUGGCAUGUUCUGGGCCUCGGUUAUGAUCCAGCCGUAAAUCCUUCGGAGAUCGAGAACGCAGCUGUGAUUCACUACAACGGAAACUACAAGCCGUGGCUUGAUCUUGCCAUUGCCAAGUACAAGACGCACUGGUCCAAGUUUGUAAAAUUUGACAAUCCAUACAUUCAGAUCUGCUACAUGAACAAUUAAGGUUGGCUGUGUAUUUAAUACUAAUCAAUCUUGCUCCAGCAGGGGCAAAAAAAAAGAAGAAAAAAAAUCUGCCAAGCAGCUUGUGCUUCAGAGUUGGCUCCUGAAAAGGCUUCUGAUUUUUCGAGCUUUCUGGAAGCUUGGAGCAAGCAUGCAAAGUUUAAACACGCUCAGGAUCAAAGAGAGUGGAUUACUCGGCGUCAUAUAAGUCUGUGAAAUCAACGGAUAUCGCAAAUAUAACAGCUACAGCAAGAAUGCAGAGGAGAACGAAGAUGGUUCUGAAACACAAUACAAAACAUGUGAAGAAAGGUGCACGUUAUUACAUCAUUUAUUUCUUUCUGUAACACUGCUUGAUAUUGGACUCAGCAUGCUGACACGUUGACUAUCA
Molecule: RNA transcript, 2539 nt
Organism: Ananas comosus (pineapple)
Lineage: Eukaryota; Viridiplantae; Streptophyta; Magnoliopsida; Poales; Bromeliaceae
Gene name: probable galacturonosyltransferase 3
Exons: 9
Source: RefSeq, a predicted model, not a curated record